Molecule: long non-coding RNA, 1614 nt
Organism: Labeo rohita (rohu)
Lineage: Eukaryota; Metazoa; Chordata; Actinopteri; Cypriniformes; Cyprinidae
Exons: 4
Source: RefSeq, a predicted model, not a curated record
CGACACCUUUAAAUGAUAAUGUAGAACGACACAGACAACACAUCACAACAGAGCCACAACAAGAAACACCUCACCAUUUAAAAAUCUUUUCAUCAGGAUCUUGAGCAACGAGCUACAAAUACUUCCACAGAGCAUAAAGAUACUAAAACAUUAUCUAUAGUCAAACAAGCAGAUUUGUGAAGUCUCAGAAGAUGAAAUUUCCAUCUGCAUUUAAGAGCGAACUGGCUAAACGACUUUUUUAAAAUCUGUUCCAGGAAACCUUUUGUUGAUUCCAUUGGACAUUUUGGCCGAUUUCAAAUUUUCAUGUCCAUGCAGUGAAUCCUGGAAUAUAGGAAUAACAGUCCUCGUCUUCUUUGCACCUGCUUUUCUUGUUUUUGCUUUAACGUUUCUCUGUUUACUUAAAUCUGAAGAAAAGCAAGAAACAGGAAAUGAUCAAGAAGAAAAUAUAGAAAGAGCAAGUGCAUAUGACAUGGAAAUACAUGCGUUAAUGUUUUAAUUAGUUUAUUUCCAUUUUCUAUGUGGAUGAUUCUGUUACUUAUAGAUGGGGAUUAUAUUGCCUGUGGUCAAACAAAGUGGAAAGGACAGUAUACUUAUGAUGACAAACUAAAAAUAAAAUGGUGCAAACCUACUGAAUUGAUGCUUGGAGAAGAAGCUGAACUACAAAACCAGAUUCUCUUGUAUAUCAGACACUCACAGACGGGACGUAACCAGAAGCGGACUGGCCAUCUGGACGUUCUGGACGGUUCAUCAUCUAGAAAAAAAAAAGGCCGACAAAAGGGGGCGCUAAUGCAAUCUACUUUUGCUUAUAAGAAACCGAAACUGACGCGAAGGAGAACGGGCUCGUAAUGACAAACACAAACUUGAAGAGGUGAAGGGGUCGGUCAUACAGAUCAUUGCCGGGCCUGCUUCUAGAGUAUGCCAAAAAGAAGUCCUUACAACACAGACCACAUACUGUUACCGUAUGGCACCAGGUGUAAGUGACUAACAUCUGGAAUAUUACAAACACACACACUUAGUUCAUCUGCUGUUCUCUGCACUGUACUCUGCACUGAAUUCAUACGUGCUGUGGUCUGGCAUAUGUCCAGAAUGGCACUGAGGGAAAACCUUCAAGAGAAGUCUCUUUCUGGAGGAGCUUGAAACAGCUCUGGUGGCUCCCCUUAUGGUGAAUCGACAUUUUGUUGGUUUGAUUCUAAUCAUAAUGUAACAUUAUUGAAAAACUGUUUUUUUUUUUUUUUUUUUUUUUUUCAGUACAAAAAGUAUGAAACUUUGACCAAUAGUAAUUUUUAUUGUUAUAAUUUUGAUUUAAUAAUAUGUAGAUAUCAGUCCAACUGAAAAAACUUGUAAAAAGAUGUCUUUCAAUUAGCCAGAUAGUAAAUGGUGGAGCUCUGCAGCCAUCUACUUGUAAAAAUGAUAUUUUUUUAUUUUUAAAACAGCAUUUUCCAAAAAAAUCUUACACUAAACCAUGUCAAAUGAUCCAUGCUAUCCCCAUGAAUGAAGUUAAAAAUCUGGGUCUUCUAUAAAGGGAAUUUUACACAAAAAGCUGCUUUUGUAUAAAAACCUAUUAAAAAAAUAUUAAUUUAUUAAUUUAUAUGAAUUAAAAAAAUUAUAAUAAAU